GACGAACGCUGGCGGCGUGCUUAACACAUGCAAGUCGAACGGUAAGGCCCUUCGGGGUACACGAGUGGCGAGCGGGUGAGUAACACGUGGGUGAUCUGCCCUGCACUUCGGGAUAAGCCUGGGAAACUGGGUCUAAUACCGGAUAGGACUCCUGGCUUCAUGGUUGGGGGUGGAAAGCUUUUGCGGUGUGGGAUGGGCCCGCGGCCUAUCGGCUUGUUGGUGGGGUAAUGGCCUACCAAGGCGACGACGGGUAGCCGGCCUGAGAGGGUGACCGGUCACACUGGGACUGAGAUACGGCCCAGACUCCUACGGGAGGCAGCAGUGGGGAAUAUUGCACAAUGGGCGCAAGCCUGAUGCAGCGACGCCGCGUGAGGGAUGACGGCCUUCGGGUUGUAAACCUCUUUCAGCUAUGACGAAGCGCAAGUGACGGUAGUAGCAGAAGAAGGACCGGCCAACUACGUGCCAGCAGCCGCCGUAA
This 478-nucleotide ribosomal RNA is filed under the name uncultured bacterium. Its description in RNAcentral is "partial 16S ribosomal RNA". It matches the Rfam family "Bacterial small subunit ribosomal RNA", at positions 28 to 523 of the family's 1533-position model. The record is from RNAcentral.